Molecule: long non-coding RNA, 681 nt
Organism: Myotis myotis
Lineage: Eukaryota; Metazoa; Chordata; Mammalia; Chiroptera; Vespertilionidae
Exons: 3
Source: RefSeq, a predicted model, not a curated record
UAAAAUAUUUGCUGCUAGUAUUAGUGGAGAGAAGUGGUGCGCCUGUGCAUAAGCAACGCAAAGGUGUGGAGGAAACGUUGGACAGACCCACUGGAGGGACAUUCUACAAAGGAACUGGCCUAAACUCUUCAAAAGUUUCAAGGUCAUGAAUGAGAAAGAAAGACUGAGGAACUGCUCCCAACUAAAGGAGACCAGGGCCGCUACAUGCAGACUUGGUUGCAGACAUCAGUACCCGUCACCCCUAACCACUUCAGCAUUAGCUCGAGCACUAGCACCCCUCUAUUACUGGGGUGAGUACCCUAGUGAAGACGACAUUUUCCAGCUUCUCUUGCAGCUAGAGAUGACCAGUGUGGUAUAAUUAAGAAGCUAUAGGUGAGGUGUCCAGGGAGGCUCUUUAACGGGGCUGACUCAGCUAUGAGAGACAUUCCCUUUUCCCUCUCUCCUCUGCAAUCCCCUUUUCCCCCACGACUUUUUUCUCUGUUCUCCCUGGAACUCAGAUGUGAUGGCCAGAGCUUCAGGGCCAUCUUGAAACAUGAGGCAGACAUUGAAGCAAUAGGAGUCACGUCGUGAAGGUGGUGAAACCAGAAGAUAAAAGGCUCUUGGCUUCUUUUUUUUUUAAUCCUCACCCAAGGAUAUUUUUCUGUUGAUUUUUAAGGAGAGUGGAAGGGGGAGGGAAAAACA